Molecule: ribosomal RNA, 324 nt
Filed under: Triticum aestivum (bread wheat)
Lineage: Eukaryota; Viridiplantae; Streptophyta; Magnoliopsida; Poales; Poaceae
Description: partial small subunit ribosomal RNA
Source: RNAcentral
AUGCCGUCGUCGUCUGCCUCCGCUUCGUCUCUCUUCGCCAUUGUGCCCCUCGACGGCGGUGGCGCGACGAGCCGCCACGCCAUGGACGCCUGCUACCUCUGCGGGAAGCCGCUCUCCAGAGAUUUCGACGUCUUCAUGUACAGAGGGGACACGCCAUUCUGCAGCGAGGAGUGCAGGGCUGUGCAGAUCGAUACCGACGAGGUACGCGAGAGGAUUAACACCAAGAUCCUGAAGGAACGUGCUGCGAGAAACGAGCAGCGCCGCGGGGUGGCUGCCUCCGAGCCCAACAUCACCCGCGCGGGAAAUGUGCCGGUUGCAAGCUAA